GCCUGCCCAGUGACUUAGUUUAACGGCCGCGGUACCCUAACCGCGCGAAGGUAGCAUAAUCAUUUGUUCUUUAAAUGAGGACUUGUAUCAACGGCACCACGAGGGUUUUACUGUCUCCUUUCCCUAAUCAGUGAAACUAAUCUCCCCGUGAAGAAGCGGGGAUAAACCUAUAAGACGAGAAGACCCCAUGGAGCUUUAGACGAAGCUACAAUCCAAUUUUAUACACCUAUUUAUUAAGCAGGAUUUAUGUAAGCUCAGUUUUAGGUUGGGGUGACCGCGGAGUAUAAAUUAACCUCCACGAUAGACGAAACUUUUCUUAUCUAAGAGUUACAUCUCUAAGAAUUAGUAUACUAAUAUUUAAUGAUCCGAUAAUCGAUCAACGGACCAAGUUACCCUGGGGAUAACAGCGCAAUCCAUUUUAAGAGCCCUUAUCGACAAAUGGGUUUACGACCUCGAUGUUGGAUCAGGAUAUCCUAGUGGUGCAGCAGCUACUGAAGGUUCGUUUGUUCAACGAUUAAAAUCCU
This 524-nucleotide ribosomal RNA is filed under the name Gephyromantis asper. RNAcentral describes it as "partial 16S ribosomal RNA". It matches the Rfam family "Bacterial large subunit ribosomal RNA", at positions 1857 to 2597 of the family's 2925-position model. Lineage: Eukaryota; Metazoa; Chordata; Amphibia; Anura; Mantellidae. The record is from RNAcentral.